UGGGCAUGAAAAUAUGUCAAAUCCAAUCACUUAUCAUUAUGUAUCUCGAUCAAAAGAUGAUAACUUAGUUGAUGAUAUAUUAAAAUUUUUUUUCUAAUUAUCAUCCUGCUUUGGCCAAAGACUUCCGAAUCAACGAUCUAUGAGAUCACAUAGGAUGUUCGCUCUCCUUAUUAGGAGUGACUGAUUCCUUAUUGAUCAC
This 199-nucleotide long non-coding RNA is filed under the name Elaeis guineensis (African oil palm). Its description in RNAcentral is "long non-coding RNA (EGUI_LNC076193)". The record is from RNAcentral. Lineage: Eukaryota; Viridiplantae; Streptophyta; Magnoliopsida; Arecales; Arecaceae.